GCAACGGUCAUGCUGGAGACUGGGACGAU
This 29-nucleotide small RNA is filed under the name Bombyx mori (domestic silkworm). RNAcentral's name for it is "piRNA piR-bmo-1572902". Lineage: Eukaryota; Metazoa; Arthropoda; Insecta; Lepidoptera; Bombycidae. The record is from RNAcentral.